RNAcentral lists this transfer RNA (87 nucleotides) under Candidatus Alistipes equi. RNAcentral describes it as "tRNA-Ser". It matches the Rfam family "tRNA". Rfam says of the family: Transfer RNA (tRNA) molecules are approximately 80 nucleotides in length. The record is from RNAcentral. Lineage: Bacteria; Pseudomonadati; Bacteroidota; Bacteroidia; Bacteroidales; Rikenellaceae.
GGAGAGAUGCCGGAGUGGUCGAACGGACCGCACUCGAAAUGCGGCAUACGGGUAACUGUAUCUAGGGUUCGAAUCCCUAUCUCUCCG